AUUGAACGCUGGCGGCAUGCCUUACACAUGCAAGUCGAACGGCAGCACGGGGGCAACCCUGGUGGCGAGUGGCGAACGGGUGAGUAAUAUAUCGGAACGUGCCCUGGGGUGGGGGAUAACUAGUCGAAAGAUUAGCUAAUACCGCAUACGAUCUACGGAUGAAAGUGGGGGAUCGCAAGACCUCAUGCUCGUGGAGCGGCCGAUAUCUGAUUAGCUAGUUGGUGGGGUAAAAGCCUACCAAGGCGACUAUCAGUAGCUUGGUCUGAGAGGACGACCAGCCACACUGGGACUGAGACACGGCCCAUACUCCUACGGGAGGCAGCAUUGGGGAAUUUUGGACAAUGGGGGCAACCCUGAUCCAGCAAUGCCACGUGUGUGAAGAAGGCCUUCUGUUGAAAAGCACUUUUGUCAUGAACGAAACCGCGGGGGCUAAUAUCCUCUGCUAAUGACCGUACCUGAAGAAUAAGCACCGGGCUACUUACGUGCCAGCAGCCGCGGUAAUACGUAGGGUGCAAGCGUUAAUCGGAAUUACUGGGCGUAAAGCGUGCGCAGGCGGUUUGGUAAGACAGAUGUGAAAUCCCCGGGCUUAACCUGGGAAUUGCAUUUGUGACUGCCCGGCUAGAGUGUGUCAGAGGGGGGUAGAAUUCCACGUGUAGCAGUGAAAUGCGUAGAUAUGUGGAGGAAUACCGAUGGCGAAGGCAGCCCCCUGGGAUAACACUGACGCUCAUGCACGAAAGCGUGGGGAGCAAACAGGAUUAGAUACCCUGGUAGUCCACGCCCUAAACGAUGUCUACUAGUUGUCGGGGGAUUCGACCCCUUCGGUAUCGACGCUAACGCAUUAAGUAACCCACCUGGGGAGUACGCUCGCAAGGGUGAAACUCAAAGGAAUUGACGGGGGCCCGCACAAGCGGUGGAGCAUGUGGUUUAAUUCGAUGCAACGCGAAGAACCUUACCUGGGCUCGAAGUGCCGUGUAAACUCAUGAAAGUGAGGUACUCCCGCAAGGGAGGCGCGGUAUAGGUGCUGCAUGGCUGUCGUCAGCUCGUGUCGUGAGAUGUUAGGUUAAGUCCYGCAACGAGCGCAACCCUUGUCCUUAGUUGCUAACAGGUUAUGCUGAGAACUCUAAGGAGACUGCCGACGUUAAGUCGGAGGAAGGUGGGGAUGACGUCAAGUCCUCAUGGCCCUUACGUCCAGGGCUACACACGUGCUACAAUGGCCGGUACAGAGCGUCGCAAGACCGCGAGGUGGAGCUAAUCGCAAAAAACCGGUCUCAGUUCAAAUUGCACUCUGCAACUCGAGUGCAUGAAGUCGGAAUCGCUAGUAAACGCGGAUCAGCAGGUCGCGUUGAAUACGUUCCCGGGCCUUGUACACACCGCCCGUCACACCAUGGGAGUCGGAAGGACCCAAAGGGCCGAGCCAACCGUAAGGGGGCAAGGCCUCAAGGUCAAGGCCGAUGACUGGGGUG
Molecule: ribosomal RNA, 1463 nt
Filed under: uncultured bacterium
Lineage: Bacteria
Description: 16S ribosomal RNA
Rfam family: Bacterial small subunit ribosomal RNA
Source: RNAcentral